This 254-nucleotide ribosomal RNA is filed under the name uncultured bacterium. RNAcentral describes it as "partial 16S ribosomal RNA". It matches the Rfam family "Bacterial small subunit ribosomal RNA", at positions 524 to 776 of the family's 1533-position model. The record is from RNAcentral.
CACGUAGGGGGCGAGCGUUGUCCGGAUUUAUUGGGCGUAAAGAGCUCGUAGGCGGCUCGGUAAGUCGGGUGUGAAACCUCCAGGCUCAACCUGGAGACGCCACCCGAUACUGCCGUGGCUAGAGUCCGGUAGAGGAGCGUAGAAUUCCUGGUGUAGCGGUGAAAUGCGCAGAUAUCUGGAGGAACACCGGUGGCGAAGGCGGCGUCCUGGACCAACACUGACACUGAGGAGCGAAAGCCAGGGGAGCAAACGGG